Molecule: long non-coding RNA, 2692 nt
Organism: Ctenopharyngodon idella (grass carp)
Lineage: Eukaryota; Metazoa; Chordata; Actinopteri; Cypriniformes; Xenocyprididae
Exons: 6
Source: RefSeq, a predicted model, not a curated record
AAUUGUGGCUAUUAAGGAAUAAGAUUGCUUAAGUUUUUGAAUCAAGAUUGCAAUCUUUACCAAAUAAUUGUGCAGCUCUAUUCUGUUUGCUUGUUUGUUGUUGUUGUUGUUGUUUUUUUGCCUGUUUCUGUGUUGCAAAGGAAUUUAUUACCCAAUGACCCUUUUUAGUUCAUCAGAGCAGGAGAUAUCAGAAGUGACUGCUGAGCCUGAGGGACCGGUUUCUGAGGGACCAUCAUGUUCAUCAGAAUGGCCAACUGAAAGAUAUGCUGGUUUAGAAACUGUUUCAGGUAGACAGAAUAGUAAUGAAUCAGUGCAGUACAGUGUUGUGGAUCAAACAUUAUGGGUCUGAAGGAUAUGAGUAAAAAAAAAUUGCAAAUAAAUAUUAUGAAUUGUGCAUUUCUGACUAAUAUUUUAUUUUUAUUAGAGCUGUUUAUUGAUGCUGUUUCAAUUUUCUCUGUUAUUGGACAACUCUACUCAACUGUACUCUAAAUGCUACAUCAGCAUGUAUAUUCUUCCUCCUACAGUAUAAGAAGUGAUCACAGAAAUUCAGAACUGUUAAAAGUAUAGUUCACACAAAAGUAACAUUUAUGGCAGCACACUCACGUUCUAAACCCAUAUGACUGCAGAAGAAAGCAUUUAAUAAAUACCCAGUUGGGUGAAUUCAAUUACAAUGACAGUGUAAUUUUUUGGGUUAACUAACUAUCAAAGGGAGUUACAGUGCAAUUAAUCUGUAUAUAUUUAACUCUCUCUUCUUGUCUUAUUUAGACUGGAAGACAGAACAAGAAGCCAGAAAAGCAGUUCAGAUUUUUAGAUCAGAGCUGCUAUCCCCUCAUGAGUUUGGGAAGCCAUUGAUCAUGACACUGGACCUAAGAGAUGAAAUUGAAGAUCAGGAAAGACACCUGAUAUCUUUUUUAUAAGAGGUCAAAUAUGGAGUGGGCCAGCCCUGUUGAGUGCAAACUUCAUGGAGAUUCUGCUAUUGGGGAAGGAGUGACCAGAUUUUUCUUCUCAAAGUGCAUAUCAUUGCUUCAAAUUGGAUUUCAUCUUAAUCUUGGAAACACGGCACUAACAAAACUGUUUGAAGGCGAGCCGGACCAUCUGACUCCAUCAACAUCUCAAUUUCUCCAGGACAGUGACAUGUUUGUGGUGGCAGGCAGGAUGAUUGGCCACUCAAUUUUGCAUGGUGGACCCUGUGUUACUGGGAUAAGUCCUGCCACCAUGCACGUUCUGUUGUGGGGAUCCCUAGAGACUGCAACAAUCCAGAUUGAAGACUGUUGUGACUUUGAUGUUCGCAACACCAUUCAUUUAGUAUGGACCAGAAUGGCAGAGCACUUUUUUUUAUUGCAGAUUCUAUUUUUAUACCUGAAAAUUUCAAUGUAAAAUGACUGUACCUAUAAAAGUAACAGUACUAUCACAUAAAUAAGUUAUGUGUUACUACUUUCUGCCAGCUUAAUGGAGACUCUGAACUGUCUGCAGAGGAGAAAGAGGCAAUCCUCAAUUUAUCAUUGGCCUGGGACCUGCCAGGUGUCACAGAAGGUAAUCGGAGAUGGUUAUAUGAGUGGCUUUUCCUUCAUGCUGUAAGUACUGUAAGAUGAUGCAUACACAAUUUUGAUACACAAUUUUGACAAUCCACUAAAAACAUUUUAAUAGUAUUUAGAACAUACUAGGGCAUCAAAUACACACCUGUAAAAUUAAAUUAAAUCUUAAAUUAGUUUUAGUAAGUACUAAUGUAAAUUAUAGUCUUACUGUGUUAUGGAUUAAAGUAUUAAUGUCAACCUAAAUCUAAAAUUGCAGGUAGUUGGACAUACUUCACGUCAAGUGAAGCAGAUAAGAAGGGGGUUAAAAGAGACCAUGGUGUGGCCACUUCUGACAGAGAGGAAAGAUGUCAUUCCUCUGCUGUUUCCAAGGGAGUCAGAGGCCAUCUACAACUCUGAGAUGAUCUUGGAGCAAAUUGUUUGGCCAGAGCUGGAUGACGAUGACAGUGACAAUGAAGAGUGCAGCCUUGAGGACAAAUACAAGGUUGCUGGAUACCUGCGGACAUUUAUCAAAAAUGCCUCCUCUUCGAACUUAAAGGAACUGCUUAAGUUCUGGACCGGAUGGGAAAUCCCAUCUAAUGACCUUCAAGUCGAGGUGAUGGAAGGCAACCUUCCCAGGUCCUCCACUUGUUUCCAAAAGCUUUUCAUCCCCGCACACUACACGUGCUACUCUGAAUUUGAGAGGGAUAUGCUAACCUGCAUUUCCUGCAACGAUACAGGUUUCGGCCUUAUAUAACUUGAAUUUGUGUAUAAAGGGUUAGUUCCCUUUAAACGUUUGUGUUCAAGGAAAGUUUCAUGUAGUUGUACUAAUACAAGAAUGCUGUUGACUAAAUGCAGACUUCCAUUCAAAUAACCACGUUUCACUUUUAAUGAAAUUGGCUUUUUAUUGUUAAAGCCUCAAAGUUUGAACAGCAUGUGUUCAAGAAAUUUUUUGUUGUACUAAUAUACAACUAUACAAAAACACAUUUCAGUUUUAAUGAAUUUCUUUAUGAAUUGUUACAAAUAAAAGUUAACAGCUUGUUCAAGUAAACAUUUAUCAAGUUUAUAUGUAGGUGAAGUUGUUGACUGAAUACACCAGACAUUCAUACACAGCCAUACACAAGAUGUAACUUUCAGUAUACACUAUGUGCAGAAUUAUUGGGCAAGUUGAUUUUCUGUUC